UGAUGAUGAAGAUAUCCAAGACAAAAUAAUUGAAGAACUCAACUUGUAUCAAGAUCAGCAUGGGAGUUUUGGACACGAAAUUGCCGUAAGGCAGCGAAAGAACAAAAAUUUCAAUCCAGCAAAAUGGUGGCUGAACCAUGGCACAAGCACACCAAAUCUUAGGAAGUUGGCUGCAAGGAUUUUGAGUUUGACCUGCAGCUCCUCAGCUUGUGAGAGGAACUGGUCAGUUUUUGAACAGGUUCAUACAAAGAAGCGCAACAGGCUACUUCAUGAAAGGAUGCGAGAUCUGGUGUUUGUUAAAUUUAACUCCAAGUUAAGAAAUAAGAGAGAGAACAAGGGUAGAGAUCCUAUAGAGAAGGAAGUGGAUGAUGUUGUGGCAGAUGGUGACAAUGAAUUCAUUACUGGUGUUGUGCCUUCAUCAAGUGAAAUGGAUCAACAAUGUGCAAAAGAGUCACAGCAGCACACAACACCACAAGCACCAGCACCAGCUAAAAGGAAAAGGCCUGUGCACGCUAAGAAGAGGAAAGUCAGAAGCCUACAGUCUUUGAUGCGCAAUGCCCCAGUGCAUCCUGAAGCUCCAUCAUCCGACUCAGAAGAUUGUGAUGAUGGUAUUCCAAUGCAGACUUCUGAUUCUGAUAAGUCACCCUCUCCCUCUCCCUUUGUCUCUUAGACCGAUGAUUGAUGACUAGAAGAAAUGAAGAUUGCAAUAUUGCCUCAUAUUAGUAAUUUAGUAUCCACUAUCCAGAA
Non-coding RNA from Oryza sativa Japonica Group (Japanese rice), 747 nucleotides. The record is from RefSeq and is a predicted model, not a curated record. NCBI's taxonomy places the organism in Eukaryota, Viridiplantae, Streptophyta, Magnoliopsida, Poales, Poaceae.